UUAUGUAAAGUGCCUUUGAGUAUCACAAAAAGCGCUAUAUGAAUUAAAUGCAUUAUUAUUAUUAAUACAUAAUGCAUGACACCAAACAUGCACACUUAUGCGCAGGAUGCUCGAUUUGACCUCUGACACCUGGUGUGUGUGUGUCUGUGUGUGUUUGUUGCCAGCGGACUUUGGUGUGUCGGCUCAGAUCAACAUGACCAUCGCUAAGAGGAAGUCCUUCAUCGGGACUCCAUACUGGAUGGCUCUGGAGGUGGCGGCAGUGGAGAGGAAGGGCGGGUAUAACCACUGUGUGACAUCUGGGCCGUCGGCAUCACCGGCAUCGAACUGGCAGAACUGCAGCCGCCCAUGUUUGACCUCCACCCCAUGAGAGCUCUGCUGCUGAUGACCAAGAGUAACGUUCAACCGCCCAAGCUGAAAGACAAGGUGAAGUGUCGGAUCGCUUCCUGGACUGUGAGGAGGAGCUAUUCUUCACUGCGAGAUCCCACCUGGUACACCUGACCAUACACAUGCUAACUAAUUAUCUGUCCUUGUUCCUGUUAGCAUGAGGCUAACAGUCUGUGUAUUAUUAUUAUUAUUAUUAUUAUUAUUGCUCUAUUGUUAUUAUUAUUGAAUAGUUGUCUGACUGCAACACAUGUUUACAACACGCUAAUAAUACAUGAAUACGAUGCAAAUAGCAUGCUAACAGCACACAAACAACAUUCUAUUAACACAUUAAUAACUUGAUAACAGGCUAACAUGCUAACAACACACUAAUAACAUGCUAAUGCAGUCAUUCUUUUAACUAAGUUGUUCUUCUUUGUCCUCACCUUAUGACGUUCACGCUCCCUUCCCUAUUGCACCUGGAUGAUGUCACUUCUGUCUUAAUUAGUCAUUUAGUCCAAUCACAUGUGUGCCAGUGUUCCCAUCAGAACCAGCUACGGUAACACACACACACACGUACACACAUACACGUACACACACUUCCUGUGUGCUGAUGAAGAUGAGGAUGUAAUGUGAGGUGCAGCAGUGUUUUGGUCCGUUGGGACUUUCACAGUUGAAAGUUGCUGAAUCAGCGCCAACGCUCUGCCGACCAAUCCGAUAUGCUCUUAUGAAUAGGAGGAGGAG
Molecule: long non-coding RNA, 1104 nt
Organism: Cyclopterus lumpus (lumpfish)
Lineage: Eukaryota; Metazoa; Chordata; Actinopteri; Perciformes; Cyclopteridae
Exons: 4
Source: RefSeq, a predicted model, not a curated record